UUGUGAUCCGCCCGCCUCAGCCUCCCAAAGUGCUGGGAUUACAGGCGUGAGCCACCACGCCCGGCCCAAACUUAGUCUUAAAGUUAACUUAGUCUUAAACAAGAUGCUGAUUAUCUGCUGGUUGCGGAGGUCAGCGGUCUGAGAUGGCUCUCUCUACAUCUCUACAUGGGUGAACGUCACAAUGUCUGCCUUGUUGGGGUCAAGCCAGGUUCUGCUGGGAAGCCAGUGCUCGUGGUCUGCCAGAGUCCAGGACGGGGCUGUGCAGUCGGCAGGAGGAAUGCAGUGAAGUGCCACUGUGCCAGUUCCAGGCCUGAGACUUAACAAGACCCAGCAGCUUUGGCCUGUGCGUUCUCAGGAGACUGCUGCCACCUAAGAAGUCUGACCAGCCUGAUGGAGAGGGGCUACCCAGAGGACAUUGAGGGUGCAGAGAUGUGAGUGAUAAGUCAUCUUGGACAUUCUGCCACCAUCUGACGGCAACUGCAUGAGAGACCACAAGCAGAAGAACUACCCAGCUGAGCCCAGCCAACCCACAGAACCCUGAGAAAUAAUAACGAAGUGUUGUUUCAAUGGUGUGUUUGUUACGCAGCAAUAGGUAGCUGGUGCACUCUACUUACCAGCCAAGGGUUCUUGUGCAAGUCAUUUGCGUGAACUCUACUGCACUUUGCAAAUGGGGGUGAUUCUCACUAAUCUAAGCCAGGAAAGUCUACCUGCUCACCCUGGGUAUCAUGAAGAACAGCUUUAGAACAAUACUUUAGUUCCCUCUUACAAAGCCAUAAAGGUUCCAGAAAUGUGAGGUUCAGACUCAGAGAACCCAGUAAUCUAUCAUCCCAAAUACACAUCCGAGAGGGUUGUUCCCCUCUUGAAGGGUCACCGGCAGCUCCUCAUCUCUGGACCUUUCUGGGUCUGCCCUGCCCACUAGUCAGCCCCAUCUCCCAUCCCCCACUGGCCCCUUCCCCAGUUUGUACAUUUGACAACGUAUGACUUGGUGUUCUAGCUGCGGCUCAAAUGCUGCCUCCUCUGACACCUUCCCUGUCCUCUGGGCAGGCUAGGGUGCUCCUCAUCUGUUCCCACAACCACUGCAUCAUGCAUUACAGCUGUCA
This is a long non-coding RNA of Homo sapiens (human), 1100 nucleotides long. RefSeq lists it as uncharacterized. The transcript has 2 exons. NCBI's taxonomy places the organism in Eukaryota, Metazoa, Chordata, Mammalia, Primates, Hominidae. The record is from RefSeq and is a predicted model, not a curated record.